UUGGGGGCCUUUCGGGCGGGCCCGCGGGGUUUUUUUUGGGGGCCUUUUUUAGGGUUUUUAAAAACACUCAGGAUGAACGCUAGCGGCAGGCCUAACACAUGCAAGUCGAGGGGUAGAAGAAGCUUGCUUUUUUGAGACCGGCGCACGGGUGAGUAACGCGUAUGCAACCUACCUUAUACAGGGGAAUAGCCCGAAGAAAUUCGGAUUAAUGCUCCAUGGUUUAUCGAUAUGGCAUCGUAUUGAUAAUAAAGAUUUAUCGGUAUAAGAUGGGCAUGCGUAUCAUUAGCUAGUUGGUGUGGUAACGGCAUACCAAGGCAACGAUGAUUAGGGGUCCUGAGAGGGAGAUCCCCCACACUGGUACUGAGACACGGACCAGACUCCUACGGGAGGCAGCAGUGAGGAAUAUUGGUCAAUGGAGGCAACUCUGAACCAGCCAUGCCGCGUGCAGGAUGACGGUCCUAUGGAUUGUAAACUGCUUUUGUACAGGAAGAAACCUCCCUACGAGUAGGGACUUGACGGUACUGUAAGAAUAAGGAUCGGCUAACUCCGUGCCAGCAGCCGCGGUAAUACGGAGGAUCCGAGCGUUAUCCGGAAUUAUUGGGUUUAAAGGGUUCGUAGGCGGCUUUGUAAGUCAGUGGUGAAAUUUCCUAGCUUAACUAGGACACUGCCAUUGAUACUGCAGAGCUUGAAUAAUAUGGAAGUAACUAGAAUAUGUAGUGUAGCGGUGAAAUGCUUAGAUAUUACAUGGAAUACCAAUUGCGAAGGCAGGUUACUACGUAUUUAUUGACGCUGAUGAACGAAAGCGUGGGGAGCGAACAGGAUUAGAUACCCUGGUAGUCCACGCCGUAAACGAUGGAUACUAGCUGUUCGCUUUUCGGACUGAGUGGCUAAGCGAAAGUGAUAAGUUCCCACAUGGAGACUCAGGG
RNAcentral lists this ribosomal RNA (926 nucleotides) under Myroides odoratimimus subsp. xuanwuensis. RNAcentral describes it as "bacterial SSU rRNA". It matches the Rfam family "Bacterial small subunit ribosomal RNA", at positions 1 to 886 of the family's 1533-position model. Lineage: Bacteria; Pseudomonadati; Bacteroidota; Flavobacteriia; Flavobacteriales; Flavobacteriaceae. The record is from RNAcentral.